This 395-nucleotide ribosomal RNA is filed under the name uncultured bacterium. RNAcentral's name for it is "bacterial SSU rRNA". It matches the Rfam family "Bacterial small subunit ribosomal RNA", at positions 521 to 916 of the family's 1533-position model. The record is from RNAcentral.
UAAUACGUAGGGUGCAAGCGUUAAUCGGAAUUACUGGGCGUAAAGCGUGCGCAGGCGGUUCGGAAAGAAAGAUGUGAAAUCCCAGAGCUUAACUUUGGAACUGCAUUUUUAACUACCGAGCUAGAGUGUGUCAGAGGGAGGUGGAAUUCCGCGUGUAGCAGUGAAAUGCGUAGAUAUGCGGAGGAACACCGAUGGCGAAGGCAGCCUCCUGGGAUAACACUGACGCUCAUGCACGAAAGCGUGGGGAGCAAACAGGAUUAGAUACCCUGGUAGUCCACGCCCUAAACGAUGUCAACUAGCUGUUGGGGCCUUCGGGCCUUGGUAGCGCAGCUAACGCGUGAAGUUGACCGCCUGGGGAGUACGGUCGCAAGAUUAAAACUUAAAUGAAUUGACGG